CCUACGGGAGGCAGCAGUGAGGAAUAUUGGUCAAUGGGCGAGAGCCUGAACCAGCCAAGUCGCGUGAAGGAUGAAGGAUCUAUGGUUUGUAAACUUCUUUUAUAUGGGAAUAAAGUGAGGAACGUGUUCCUUUUUGUAUGUACCAUAUGAAUAAGCAUCGGCUAACUCCGUGCCAGCAGCCGCGGUAAUAGUGAGGAUGCGAGCGUUAUCCGGAUUUAUGGGGUUUAAAGGGUGCGUAGGCGGAAUAACAAGUCGGCGGUAAAAAUUCGGGGCUCAACCCCGUCGUGCCGUUGAAACUGAUGUUCUUGAGUGGGCGAGAAGUGUGCGGAAUGCGUGGUGUAGCGGUGAAAUGCAUAGAUAUCACGCAGAACUCCGAUUGCGAAGGCAGCAUACCGGCGCCCAACUGACGCUGAGGCACGAAAGCGUGGGUAUCGAACAGGAUUAGAUACCCCUGUAGUC
RNAcentral lists this ribosomal RNA (459 nucleotides) under uncultured bacterium. Its description in RNAcentral is "partial 16S ribosomal RNA". It matches the Rfam family "Bacterial small subunit ribosomal RNA", at positions 338 to 795 of the family's 1533-position model. The record is from RNAcentral.